UUAAUUUGAGAGUUUGAUCCUGGCUCAGGACGAACGCUGGCGGCGUGCCUAAUACAUGCAAGUCGAACGAACUCUGGUAUUGAUUGGUGCUUGCAUCAUGAUUUACAUUUGAGUGAGUGGCGAACUGGUGAGUAACACGUGGGAAACCUGCCCAGAAGCGGGGGAUAACACCUGGAAACAGAUGCUAAUACCGCAUAACAACUUGGACCGCAUGGUCCGAGUUUGAAAGAUGGCUUCGGCUAUCACUUUUGGAUGGUCCCGCGGCGUAUUAGCUAGAUGGCGGGGUAACGGCUCACCAUGGCAAUGAUACGUAGCCGACCUGAGAGGGUAAUCGGCCACAUUGGGACUGAGACACGGCCCAAACUCCUACGGGAGGCAGCAGUAGGGAAUCUUCCACAAUGGACGAAAGUCUGAUGGAGCAACGCCGCGUGAGUGAAGAAGGGUUUCGGCUCGUAAAACUCUGUUGUUAAAGAAGAACAUAUCUGAGAGUAACUGUUCAGGUAUUGACGGUAUUUAACCAGAAAGCCACGGCUAACUACGUGCCAGCAGCCGCGGUAAUACGUAGGUGGCAAGCGUUGUCCGGAUUUAUUGGGCGUAAAGCGAGCGCAGGCGGUUUUUUAAGUCUGAUGUGAAAGCCUUCGGCUCAACCGAAGAAGUGCAUCGGAAACUGGGAAACUUGAGUGCAGAAGAGGACAGUGGAACUCCAUGUGUAGCGGUGAAAUGCGUAGAUAUAUGGAAGAACACCAGUGGCGAAGGCGGCUGUCUGGUCUGUAACUGACGCUGAGGCUCGAAAGUAUGGGUAGCAAACAGGAUUAGAUACCCUGGUAGUCCAUACCGUAAACGAUGAAUGCUAAGUGUUGGAGGGUUUCCGCCCUUCAGUGCUGCAGCUAACGCAUUAAGCAUUCCGCCUGGGGAGUACGGCCGCAAGGCUGAAACUCAAAGGAAUUGACGGGGGCCCGCACAAGCGGUGGAGCAUGUGGUUUAAUUCGAAGCUACGCGAAGAACCUUACCAGGUCUUGACAUACUAUGCAAAUCUAAGAGAUUAGACGUUCCCUUCGGGGACAUGGAUACAGGUGGUGCAUGGUUGUCGUCAGCUCGUGUCGUGAGAUGUUGGGUUAAGUCCCGCAACGAGCGCAACCCUUAUUAUCAGUUGCCAGCAUUAAGUUGGGCACUCUGGUGAGACUGCCGGUGACAAACCGGAGGAAGGUGGGGAUGACGUCAAAUCAUCAUGCCCCUUAUGACCUGGGCUACACACGUGCUACAAUGGAUGGUACAACGAGUUGCGAACUCGCGAGAGUAAGCUAAUCUCUUAAAGCCAUUCUCAGUUCGGAUUGUAGGCUGCAACUCGCCUACAUGAAGUCGGAAUCGCUAGUAAUCGCGGAUCAGCAUGCCGCGGUGAAUACGUUCCCGGGCCUUGUACACACCGCCCGUCACACCAUGAGAGUUUGUAACACCCAAAGUCGGUGGGGUAACCUUUUAGGAACCAGCCGCCUAAGGUGGGACAGAUGAUUAGGGUGAAGUCGUAACAAGGUAGCCGUAGGAGAACCUGCGGCUGGAUCACCUCCUUUCUAAGGAA
Molecule: ribosomal RNA, 1576 nt
Filed under: Lactiplantibacillus plantarum
Lineage: Bacteria; Bacillati; Bacillota; Bacilli; Lactobacillales; Lactobacillaceae
Description: Lactobacillus plantarum 16S ribosomal RNA
Rfam family: Bacterial small subunit ribosomal RNA
Source: RNAcentral